CCUACGGGGGGCAGCAGUGGGGAAUAUUGCACAAUGGGGGAAACCCUGAUGCAGCGACGCCGCGUGAGCGAGGAAGUAUUUCGGUAUGUAAAGCUCUAUCAGCAGGGACGAAAAAAGACGGUACCUGACUAAGAAGCCCCGGCUAACUACGUGCCAGCAGCCGCGGUAAUACGUAGGGGGCAAGCGUUAUCCGGAUUUACUGGGUGUAAAGGGAGCGUAGACGGCAAGGCAAGCCAGAAGUGAAAGGGCAGGGGUCAACCCUGUACAUGCUUUUGGAACUGUGGUGCUAGAGUGCAGGAGAGGUAGGUGGAAUGCCUGGUGUAGCGGUGAAAUGCGUAGAUAUUAGGAGGAACACCAGUGGCGAAGGCGGCAUACUGGACUGUAACUGACGUUGAGGCUCGAAAGCGUGGGGAGCAAACAGGAUUAGAUACCCUGGUAGUC
Molecule: ribosomal RNA, 441 nt
Filed under: uncultured bacterium
Lineage: Bacteria
Description: partial 16S ribosomal RNA
Rfam family: Bacterial small subunit ribosomal RNA
Source: RNAcentral